GAUGAAGAACGUAGCGAAAUGCGAUAAGUAAUGUGAAUUGCAGAAUUCAGUGAAUCAUCGAAUCAUUGAACGCACAUUGCGCCCUGUGGUAUUCCGCAGGGCAUGCCUGUUCGAGCGUCAUUUCAACCCUCAAGCCCCGCUUGGUGUUGGGCCCCGCCCGCUGUGGCCGGCCCUAAAGACAGUGGCGGCGCCGCCUGGCCCUCAGCGUAGUACAUCUCUCGCUCCAGGGUCCGGUGGCCGCCUGCCAGAACCCCCCAACUCUGUGGUUGACCUCGGAUCAGGUAGGGAUACCCGCUGAACUUAAGCAUAUCAAUAAGCGGAGGA
Molecule: unclassified non-coding RNA, 324 nt
Filed under: soil metagenome
Description: partial contains 5.8S ribosomal RNA, internal transcribed spacer 2, and large subunit ribosomal RNA
Rfam family: 5.8S ribosomal RNA (bases 1-120)
Source: RNAcentral